RNAcentral lists this transfer RNA (76 nucleotides) under Candidatus Altimarinota bacterium. Its description in RNAcentral is "tRNA-Thr". It matches the Rfam family "tRNA". From Rfam's summary of the family: Transfer RNA (tRNA) molecules are approximately 80 nucleotides in length. Their secondary structure includes four short double-helical elements and three loops (D, anti-codon, and T loops). Further hydrogen bonds mediate the characteristic L-shaped molecular structure. tRNAs have two regions of fundamental functional importance: the anti-codon, which is responsible for specific mRNA codon recognition, and the 3' end, to which the tRNAs corresponding amino acid is attached (by aminoacyl-tRNA synthetases). tRNAs cope with the degeneracy of the genetic code in two manners: having more than one tRNA (with a specific anti-codon) for a particular amino acid; and 'wobble' base-pairing, i.e. permitting non-standard base-pairing at the 3rd anti-codon position. The record is from RNAcentral. Lineage: Bacteria; Candidatus Altimarinota. RNAcentral also lists the same sequence under 1 other name.
GCCGUUAUAGCUCAGUAGGUAGAGCGCAUCCAUGGUAAGGAUGAGGUCACCAGUUCAACUCUGGUUAACGGCUCCA